This 492-nucleotide ribosomal RNA is filed under the name uncultured bacterium. Its description in RNAcentral is "partial 16S ribosomal RNA". It matches the Rfam family "Bacterial small subunit ribosomal RNA", at positions 29 to 507 of the family's 1533-position model. The record is from RNAcentral.
AGUGAACGCUGGCGGUAGGCCUAACACAUGCAAGUCGAACGGCAGCACAGUAAGAGCUUGCUCUUACGGGUGGCGAGUGGCGGACGGGUGAGGAAUACAUCGGAAUCUACUUUUUCGUGGGGGAUAACGUAGGGAAACUUACGCUAAUACCGCAUACGACCUACGGGUGAAAGCAGGGGGGCUUCGGACCUUGCGCGACUGAAUGAGCCGAUGUCGGAUUAGCUAGUUGGCGGGGUAAAGGCCCACCAAGGCGACGAUCCGUAGCUGGUCUGAGAGGAUGAUCAGCCACACUGGAACUGAGACACGGUCCAGACUCCUACGGGAGGCAGCAGUGGGGAAUAUUGGACAAUGGGCGCAAGCCUGAUCCAGCCAUACCGCGUGGGUGAAGAAGGCCUUCGGGUUGUAAAGCCCUUUUGUUGGGAAAGAAAAGCAGCAGGUUAAUACCCCGCUGUUCUGACGGUACCCAAAGAAUAAGCACCGGCUAACUUCGUG